RNAcentral lists this transfer RNA (84 nucleotides) under Bacteriovoracaceae bacterium. Its description in RNAcentral is "tRNA-Leu". It matches the Rfam family "tRNA". Rfam says of the family: Transfer RNA (tRNA) molecules are approximately 80 nucleotides in length. Their secondary structure includes four short double-helical elements and three loops (D, anti-codon, and T loops). RNAcentral also lists the same sequence under 1 other name. Lineage: Bacteria; Pseudomonadati; Bdellovibrionota; Bacteriovoracia; Bacteriovoracales; Bacteriovoracaceae. The record is from RNAcentral.
GCGCUGGUGGUGAAAUGGCAGACACACUACCUUGAGGUGGUAGCGCCGCGAGGCAUGGGGGUUCAAGUCCCUUCCAGCGCACCA